AGUAAAGAUAUAUCCAUAAGGAAUUUCCUAUACAAAACCUACUUACUACAAUGGCUAUGUCUGUCCUUUUUGAGGUAUUAACAACGAUGAAGAUAGAUCGAUUAUUGUGUCAUCAACGACUCAAAACAUUUACACCUCCAGAAGUGAUUAGAAGUAAAAUCAGGAUGGCUUUUUACUCUUUUUCUGGGAAGAUUUGGCGAGUGCAUCGUAAAAUUCUCUUCUACGUUUGUUGUUGUUGUUGUUGUUAAGGAGAUUACUGGUAUUGAUGUUGUUUGUUU
Molecule: unclassified non-coding RNA, 278 nt
Filed under: Hevea brasiliensis (rubber tree)
Lineage: Eukaryota; Viridiplantae; Streptophyta; Magnoliopsida; Malpighiales; Euphorbiaceae
Source: RNAcentral